Molecule: ribosomal RNA, 253 nt
Filed under: uncultured bacterium
Lineage: Bacteria
Description: partial 16S ribosomal RNA
Rfam family: Bacterial small subunit ribosomal RNA
Source: RNAcentral
GACGUAGGGCGCGAGCGUUGUCCGGAUUUAUUGGGCGUAAAGAGCUCGUAGGCGGAUCGUUAAGUCGGGGGUGAAAUCCUGGAGCUCAACUCCAGAACUGCCUUCGAUACUGGCGAUCUAGAGUCCGGAAGAGGUGAGUGGAACUCCUAGUGUAGAGGUGGAAUUCGUAGAUAUUAGGAAGAACACCAGUGGCGAAGGCGGCUCACUGGUCCGGUACUGACGCUGAGGUGCGAAAGCGUGGGGAGCAAACAGG